Molecule: long non-coding RNA, 717 nt
Filed under: Homo sapiens (human)
Lineage: Eukaryota; Metazoa; Chordata; Mammalia; Primates; Hominidae
Description: HSALNT0258991
Source: RNAcentral
GGUCUGGAAGCCGGGGAGUUGUCGGUGUGGGGUCGGAAAGCUGGAGGGGGUGUGAGAGCGAGGGUGUCAGUGGAAGGGUCUAUGUUAUCAAGGCAGUGUCCAGGAUGGAGGUCAGGGCAGAAUCCAGGAGUGGGUGAGAGGACAGUCCUUGGCGCACUCGGGACAUCUGGCUGGGCGGAGUCAGAUCGGCUUUAAUAGAGGGAGCCUGAGGAGGCUCCCGGGGUGCGGGCGCGGCCCAGCCCCCUCCUACUUGGCUGCGGCUGGCGGUGGGGCCUGGGCCGACGCUGGUGCGGCCUGGAUGGACAGGACGCCCUCGGGGGACAGCGCGGACGUCACGGCAGCCGGAUCCACGCCAGGCGGCAGGCGGUAGCGACGGUGGAACUCGCGCGCGACGAGCCGCGGCUCACCGGGCGCUCCUCGUGGCGCGCGUGCACCUCCACGUGUUCGCCCACCACCUUGACAGCAAUUUCCUCCGGCGAGAAGUGCUUCACGUCUAGCAGCACCGAAAAGCCUGGCACCUGGGCGACGGGCAGCGCCACGCUGGGUGCGCGCAGGUAGUAGGGGGCGAGCGUGGUGGGGCAGAGCGCAGCCAGCUCGGCCUCCAGCAGCCCCUCGCCGAAGCGCUGGUCAAAGAGGCGUCCGGGCGCCGAAAGUCCGGGCAACGGGGCCGAGGCGCGGCGCAGCCAAGACGGCUGCACAGGCACAGGGAUCUCCAUC